GUUUAAGGUGAGUAAAACCAAUGAGAGUUUUCGGAAAUCUUGAAUCAUACAUUAUAUGUAUGUAUUCUAUUUCGAUCUCUAAAAUGAGAAAUAAUCGAUGCAUAAAUUUUUCUAUACAUAAAUCGUAUGGAAAUUAAAUUAAGUAAUUUAUGCAUGAUUUUUAUAAACAAUAUUUUAUAUAAACAGCAAAAUUAGGGUUAAAGAUAUUACCACAGUGACUUUACUCUAAAAUGAUUUGCGAGAUGAAAAUUAUUAUUUAAAUAAGUAUUUGAUAAUUUUGAGUAGUAAUUAGUUACCCACAGGUAGACUAUGUACU
Molecule: long non-coding RNA, 316 nt
Filed under: Brassica napus (rape)
Lineage: Eukaryota; Viridiplantae; Streptophyta; Magnoliopsida; Brassicales; Brassicaceae
Description: long non-coding RNA (BNAP_LNC018142)
Source: RNAcentral